GAUGAACGCUGGCGGCGUGCCUAAUACAUGCAAGUCGAGCGAACAGACGAGGAGCUUGCUCCUCUGACGUUAGCGGCGGACGGGUGAGUAACACGUGGAUAACCUACCUAUAAGACUGGGAUAACUUCGGGAAACCGGAGCUAAUACCGGAUAAUAUAGUGUACCGCAUGGUUCAAUAGUGAAAGACGCUUUUGCUGCAACAUAUAGUUGAAUCCGGGUCGCAUUAGCUAGAUGGUAAGGUAACGGUUAACCAAGGCAACGAUGCGUAGCCGACCUGAGAGGGUGAUCGGCCACACUGGAACUGAGACACGGUCCAGACUCCUACGGGAGGAAGCAGUGGGGAAUCUUCGGCAAUGGGCGAAAGCCUGACGGAGCAACGCCGCGUGAGUGAUGAAGGUCUUCGGAUCGUAAAACUCUGUUAUUAGGGAAGAACAAAUGUGUAAGUAACUAUGCACGUCUUGACGGUACCUAAUCAGAAAGCCACGGCUAACUACGUG
RNAcentral lists this ribosomal RNA (497 nucleotides) under uncultured bacterium. Its description in RNAcentral is "partial 16S ribosomal RNA". It matches the Rfam family "Bacterial small subunit ribosomal RNA", at positions 28 to 507 of the family's 1533-position model. The record is from RNAcentral.